GUCCACACAAACCCAACCCUCCCUGGCAACGCGGCGGCGGCGGCGAGAUCCCAGGCGACGCGGGCCCUCCAGGCAGCGCGGGAUCCCAGGCGGCGCGGCGGUGGCGGCGUGGCGGUGGCGGCGGGAUCCCCCUAGGCGGCGCUCCCUCACGAGCAGCACUCCCGUGCCCGCAAGCGGCAGCGGUGGCGGGAUCCUAGGCGCCCCCAUCAGCGGGCUCGAACGGGAUCUCGGCUAGGCGCCACCCUGUGGUUGGAGCACGGCUGACCCCUGCCGGCGGCGGCGGAACGCUGCGCCAGCGGGCGGAAUAGGCUUGCGUGUAAGCGGCGGGCGUGGGGGUUCGGGCGCGCGCGGUUCUGCCCACCCCUUCAUCCUGCCCCGGAGGCCGCGGCAUCCUAGAGCGUGCCCCGUUGGCAAUCGCGUUGGCCUCCUCCGUUCCCUCGCUUCCUGCGUACACGCCGCCGAGACUAUGCACGAUACUCUGAUUGCUCAUGGGCCUGGAUGAGCGGAGCAGGGCCGCGGAUUCACUCUCGUCGGUGCUCGCCGUCUACGACGGCUUCUGCAACCUCAAGCAGGUUUAUAUGCCAUCAUACAAAGAUCUCUACAUUAGUAUAUAAUUCUCCACACAUAUUCAAAUGUUGGGAUGGUGGUAAGUUGGCUACUUUUAUGCCCUGGUCAGAUCAAUACAUUAAGAGCUGGGUUUUUUUGGCAUAAAACUUAUAUUUUUGAUGUUGAAGCCGCUUCAACGCGACAUCAUUUGUUGCUUGAGCCCAUGCUUCUAUGAUUUUUGUCACUGCUUUUUAUGCAUAGAUACUAUAUAUCUUGAGCGUCUGAACAUAGAUACUAACUUGUAUCCUAUGUUUCUAUGAAUUCCCUCACUGGUUUUUAUACCUUUUUGUUGCUUCAUGUAGUCGCUUAGAUGUAUGUGAUUGCAAUCAUGUAUUUAUUUUGUUAUGUUUUCUCAUAUUUCUAUGACUGCACUCACUUAAUUUUAUGCAUUUUUUAAUUGCGAGGUGUGUUGUUGACAAGGAUCUGUCAGACCACGACUUCCACAACUGCGCGGAUGUGUUCUUGUGUUUUUGUUUCUAUGAUUCUCUGUAAAUGAUUCUAUGCGUGGUAUAAAUUUUCUACGCGGAUGUGUUCCAGUGUUCUAUGAUUCUGUGUAAAUGGUUCUAUGCAUGGUGUAACUGAUUCUAUGCCAGCGUCA
This is a long non-coding RNA of Panicum virgatum (switchgrass), 1204 nucleotides long. RefSeq lists it as uncharacterized. The transcript is spliced from 3 exons. The record is from RefSeq and is a predicted model, not a curated record. Lineage: Eukaryota; Viridiplantae; Streptophyta; Magnoliopsida; Poales; Poaceae.